GGACGAACGCUAGCGGCGUGCCUAAUGUAUGCAAGUCGAGCGGGGUAAGAGACUUGUCUCUUAUUCAGCGGCAAACGGUUGAGUAACACGUAGGCAACCUGCCCCAGAGACGGGGAUAGCCCGCCGAAAGGCGGAUUAAUACCGGAUGUGGCCGGGGGGGACAUCCCCUUUGUGCUAAAGGGAGCAAUCCGCUCUGGGAUGGGCCUGCGGCCUAUCAGCUAGUUGGUGAGGUAACGGCUCACCAAGGCGACGACGGGUAGCUGGUCUGAGAGGAUGGUCAGCCAGACAGGGACUGAGACACGGCCCUGACUCCUUUGGGGGGCAGCAAUGAGGGAUAUCGCACAAUGGGCGAAAGCCAGAUGCAGCGACGCCGCGUGGGUGACGAAGUCCUUCGGGAUGUAAAGCCCUUUUCUCGGGGAAGAGAACGGACGGUACCCGAGGAAUAAGCCCCGGCUAACUACGUGCCAGCAGCCGCGGUAAUACGUAGGGGGCAAGCGUUGUCCGGAAUUACUGGGCGUAAAGCGCGUGUAGGCGGGACGGCAAGUCGGACGUGAAAGGCUCGGGCUCAACCCGAGAUGGCCGUUCGAAACUGCCGUUCUUGAGGGUCGAAGAGGAGAGUGGAAUUCCUGGUGUAGCGGUGAAAUGCGUAGAGAUCAGGAGGAACACCCGUGGCGAAGGCGGCUCUCUGGUCGACAACUGACGCUGAGACGCGAAAGCGUGGGGAGCGAACGGGAUUAGAUACCCCGGUAGUCCACGCCGUAAACGAUGGUCACUAGGUGUAUGCGGUAUCGACCCCGCAUGUGCCGCAGCUAACGCAAUAAGUGACCCGCCUGGGGGAGUACGGCCGCAAGGUUGAAAC
RNAcentral lists this ribosomal RNA (859 nucleotides) under uncultured bacterium. RNAcentral describes it as "bacterial SSU rRNA". It matches the Rfam family "Bacterial small subunit ribosomal RNA", at positions 27 to 900 of the family's 1533-position model. The record is from RNAcentral.